CCUACGGGCGGCAGCAGUGGGGAAUAUUGGGCAAUGGGCGCAAGCCUGACCCAGCAAUGCCGCGUGAAGGUAAAAGGCUUUCGGGUUGUAAACUUCUUUUCUCAGGGACGAAGCAAGUGACGGUACCUGAGGAAUAAGCCACGGCUAACUACGUGCCAGCAGCAGCGGUAACACGUAGGUGGCAAGCGUUAUACGGAUUUACUGGGUGUAAAGGGCGUGUAGGCGGGAAAGCAAGUCAGAUGUGAAAACCAUGGGCUCACGCUGUGGCCUGCAUUUGAAACUGUUUUUCUUGAAUGCUGGGGAGGCAGACGGAAUUUCUGGUGUAGCGGUGAAAUGCGUAGAUAUUA
This 347-nucleotide ribosomal RNA is filed under the name uncultured bacterium. RNAcentral describes it as "partial 16S ribosomal RNA". It matches the Rfam family "Bacterial small subunit ribosomal RNA", at positions 338 to 699 of the family's 1533-position model. The record is from RNAcentral.